This 229-nucleotide ribosomal RNA is filed under the name uncultured bacterium. Its description in RNAcentral is "partial 16S ribosomal RNA". It matches the Rfam family "Bacterial small subunit ribosomal RNA", at positions 568 to 796 of the family's 1533-position model. The record is from RNAcentral.
UGCGUAGGCGGCCUGGUAAGUCAGAUGUGAAAGCCCGGGGCUUAACCCCGGAAGUGCAUUUGAUACUGUCAGGCUUGAGUAUGGGAGAGGGAAGUGGAAUUCCUGGUGUAGAGGUGAAAUUCGUAGAUAUCAGGAGGAACACCGGUGGCGAAGGCGACUUCCUGGACCAAUACUGACGCUGAGGCGCGAAGGCGUGGGGAGCAAACAGGAUUAGAUACCCUGGUAGUCC